Long non-coding RNA from Talpa occidentalis (Iberian mole), 874 nucleotides. RefSeq lists it as uncharacterized. The transcript is spliced from 5 exons. Lineage: Eukaryota; Metazoa; Chordata; Mammalia; Eulipotyphla; Talpidae. The record is from RefSeq and is a predicted model, not a curated record.
AAUCCUCUUCUUAAAUUCUGCACAGGGAAACAGAGAACACAGCAUUAGGACCCACAGCAUUAGGACCCACAGCUCUUCAUGGGGUGAAGAAUCAUAUCCUGGUGAAGAAUGGCGGCUUGAGGGAGAGAAAUCUCUCGGAGAGGAGCUUGGCUCUGAAGAUAGCAUGUACUCUUCAUCCAUACAACUAGACAGAGAAACAAUCACAGAUGAGAGGAAGUUCGGGGGAUGAUGUCAAUUGAAUGCAAAUGUGCCCUGGCUUGCAUCCUGGAACAGGAAGAGGACAUUGAUGGAACUGAUGAAAUCCCAAGUCUGGAGUUUGGACUGGGGAAUUGAAGAAUCUGCUGGAAAUCUGCCAUAUCCGUGAAAAGAAGAGUUGAGUUUGCCACUUUCCCACUUGGGCCUGAGGCCAUGUGCACCAGCAUGCCAACAGGCAGCUUCUGGACCUUUCUCUGCUCUUCCAGCUGACCAUCGCCCAGCGGCAAUGAGGAACUCUGUGGGCUCAUGCUCAUAUCAGAUGCUGUCUCGUCAAUAUCCAACUCAUCUGAGGACUCUUUGCUCUCAGAGGGCCCGCUGGACUUCUGCCCCAGAAGCGGUGCCCUGGAGCCAGGUGAGAAUUUUACUCAGCCUUCUAACUCCACAAUGGUGUAAAUUCCUGAGAUUCUGUUUGAUUACCUACACAUAUGAAGAAGCUUAUUGACAGGGACUCCUUGGACUUCAUAAGAUUAUUAUAAGCCAUCAAACAUACUAUUGAUUGAAUGUAUCUGCAAUUCCAGCUUAACUUUCUUGCUACAGAUCUAUUUAGAGCUAUAAAGAUCUACAGUAAUGUGCUUAAUUAUAGCUAUAUUAUUUCUCUCUGAUUGUGUAGGUUCAUUUU